CGUGUAGGCGGCUAUACAGGUCCGUUGUGAAAACUCGAGGCUCAACCUCGAGACGUCGAUGGAAACCGUAUGGCUAGAGUCCGGAAGAGGAGAGCGGAAUUCCUGGUGUAGCGGUGAAAUGCGCAGAUAUCAGGAAGAACACCCGUGGCGAAGGCGGCUCUCUGGGACGGUACUGACGCUGAGACGCGAAAGCGUGGGAGCGAACA
RNAcentral lists this ribosomal RNA (206 nucleotides) under uncultured bacterium. RNAcentral's name for it is "partial 16S ribosomal RNA". It matches the Rfam family "Bacterial small subunit ribosomal RNA", at positions 568 to 774 of the family's 1533-position model. The record is from RNAcentral.